This 45-nucleotide non-coding RNA is filed under the name Trichobilharzia regenti. The record is from RNAcentral. Lineage: Eukaryota; Metazoa; Platyhelminthes; Trematoda; Strigeidida; Schistosomatidae.
AUCCAGAUGACGAGUCCCAAACAGGACGAAGUACGCAACCUGGAU